AUACGGAGGGUGCGAGCGUUAAUCGGAAUUACUGGGCGUAAAGCGUGCGUAGGCGGUUUGCUAAGUCAGAUGUGAAAGCCCCGGGCUUAACCUGGGAACUGCAUUUGAUACUGGCAGUCUAGAGUAUGAUAGAGGGGGGUAGAAUUCCUGGUGUAGCGGUGAAAUGCGUAGAUAUCAGGAGGAAUACCAGUGGCGAAGGCGGCCCCCCGGAUCAAUACUGACGCUGAGGUACGAAAGCGUGGGGAGCGAACAGGAUUAGAAACCCUAGUAGUCC
This 274-nucleotide ribosomal RNA is filed under the name uncultured bacterium. RNAcentral describes it as "partial 16S ribosomal RNA". It matches the Rfam family "Bacterial small subunit ribosomal RNA", at positions 523 to 796 of the family's 1533-position model. The record is from RNAcentral.